Molecule: ribosomal RNA, 130 nt
Filed under: Cicer arietinum (chickpea)
Lineage: Eukaryota; Viridiplantae; Streptophyta; Magnoliopsida; Fabales; Fabaceae
Description: partial 26S ribosomal RNA
Rfam family: Eukaryotic large subunit ribosomal RNA
Source: RNAcentral
UGAGACCUCAGGUCAGGCGGGGCUACCCGCUGAAUUUAAGCAUAUCAAUAAGCGGAGGAAAAGAAACUAACAAGGAUUCCCUUAGUAACGGCGAGCGAACCGGGAUAAGCCCACCAUGAGAAUCGGUCGC